UUACCUGUUCCCUAUCACACUAUUAGUUCAAAUCAUUCAACCAGCUCCCUCUCUCCUCCCAUUUAAUACAAAUUUUUACUCCCUUCCUUACAAAAAAAAUAGCUUAUUUCCAACCGAUUUAUCCUCAACGAUCUAUUUUCCAUUAAAAAUAAUAUAAUAUUUCCUCGUAAAUAUACUAAAUCUGACGAAAUUUCAUCGGAACUAAAAGGUGAUCUCUUGGCACUAACAUUUUCGUCAUCGCCAAACUAUUUUCGAUGGAAUAAUAUUAAUUUCGAUAGACUAUACAUUGAAAAUAAAUUAAAUCCGAGAGACUUAUCUUCGACGGAUAUUAUAUCGGAAAUAACCUUUAAAACCUAAUCAACAUAUCAGUUCUCAGCCGCCACAACUCAUUUCCUCAUCAUCCCUCUCAUUCUCUCUGUCAAUCGAUCUCAUUGUCUCUCGUUGUCAUCCCCCUCAGUCACAUUGUUGGUGUCGCCUCGUCCACGCCGAAUUUUUCGAGGCCUCAUCCGUUCCGACGAAACUAUCUACCUCAGUAUCCUCAUCAUCUCUUUUUGUGUCAAUAUUCAAGGUAAGUUUAUAGUUGUCAUUCAAUAGUUAUUCAAUGGUUCAAUAAUUUGAUGAAACCUAAAAUUUGUUAUUCAAGGGAUCAAUUCAAUAAGCUUAUAAUUAUUGUAUAAUCUGAAAUUGGGAAUGGAGUAGUAGUAUUGUUGAAAUUGGGAAUGGAAUAGUAGUAUUGUUGAAAUUUAGUGCAUAUUAUUGCAUAAUCUGAAAUUGGGAAUAUUAUUUGGUAGAAUCUGAAAUUAGGGAUAUUAAUGUAGAAUCUGAAAUUUGGUGCAUAUUAUUGCAUAAUCUGAAAUUGGGAAUAUUGUUUUGUAGAAUUUGAAAUUGUUAUUGAUUUGAAAAUUUUGCAUUUUGCAUAAUGUUAUUCAUUUGUAGUUGUCUUGCUUUGUGAAAUUGGGAAUAUUGUAGUAGUAUUGUUGAAAUUGGGUUUAAUGUGUGCAAUUGCAGUUUCUGUUCAUCUCAUAAUUGCUUCAAUUUGCUUUCCUCGGUUUUAAUUGUUGUAUGUAGAAUUAUUUUCGACCAAAAUUUCGUUGAAGUUGUAGAUCAAUACUUCAUUAUAAAAGGCAAUUAGGACUUAGUUUACCACAAAAAUAAAGUAAAGUACUAGACAACUAAGUAUCAUUUACUUAGUUGACUACCACUAAAAUAAAAUAAAAUAAAAAUUAUAAUUAACUAUAAUAUAAAUAAAUAUUAUACUAAAUAUAAUGUAAGAAAAAAGGAUAAAAAUAAUAUAAUAUAAAAAUUAAAUAGCAUUUACUUAAUUUGGUACUCCUAAAACAAAAUAAAAUAAAAUGGCUCUCGAUGUUUACAUGAAAAAACAGCCUAAUUUAUUAAAGACUUAAAAUAUAAUAUAAUAUAAUACAAAUAAAAUAAAAUGAAUAUUUUAACUAAAUAAAUAAAUUACUUUAAAUUAAAUUAAAUAAUAUAAAUUAAUUUAAAUUAAAAUAAUAUAAUAUAAUACAAAAUAAAAUUAAUUAAUUAAAAUUAAAUUAAAUAAUAUAAUUUAAUAAAAAAAUAAAAUUAAUUAUCUAAUUAAAAUAAAUUAAUUAAUUAAUUUAAAAUAAUAUAAUAUAAAAUAAUAUAAUAUAAUAUAAUACAAAAUAAAUAAACAACAUAAAAUGAAAUGAAAUAAAUAAAUUAUAUAUAUUAUAUUAAAUAAUAUAAUAUAUUUUAAUAUAAAAAGAAUAAACAACAUAAAAUGAAUUACAGUAAUUACAAAAAUUAAUUUAUUCUAAAUAAAAUUAUAUUAAUGAAUUAAAAUUAAUAAACUAAAUGGUAGUUUACAAUUAAUUAAAAUAAAAUAAAAUAUUAUAAUAUAAUAUACUAACUGGAACUAAGUAACAUUUACUUAUUUUUUCACAAUUGCAAUAAACUGCAUAUAUACAUGUGCAUGUAGUAUAUUAAUUAGGAGCUUACAAACUCGUUCAAUAGUCCUUAGUUUGGGACUGUUGCUGGAUGUUAUGUCUCUCACUUAGUGCGGUGCCAAAUGUCUUGGGUACGUUUUUUUUUUUUCUAAAAAGAGGAUUUUUUGUCUUGAGUCUUUACAUGUUCUCCGAGUGCAUACUUAGAUUAAAUUGUUUCGGUCUAUUUCGUGUAUUUGGAGACCAUGGGGAGGUACUGCCAAAAUUUUCUUGAAACAUAAAUACUCAUGGUGUUAGCACUAGUGAGGAGACAAAUUCAUGAACGCGAUAGAAGUUUAACCCCUAUAGAGUGGUCAUAUUGUCGAAUAGAAAAUCAUGCAUUAAUGAGCUAGGAGACGCAUCCAGGAGACCAUAUACAUGAAUAUUUUCAUUCUAAUUGGGUAUUUUCUUCAAUUAAAGAUGUCAGCCGACCAGAGUUAGAUGUACCGUAAGAUACGAGUUGAUGGGAGGGGAUUAGUUGGUGCAUACCACGACGGGGUUUGCAAUUUUAUGAACAAAACAAUUAGAACAUACUGAUGAUCCAAACGGAAAAAUGAGAUAUCCGUGUCUAAAGUGUAAAAACAUAAUCUAGAAGAAAGCCGACGAAAUUAAAUUUGGUUUGUUUUCACGUGGGUUUGUGGAUAGGUAUUCGAUCGGUAUGGAUUAAUCACAGGGAAUUAACUAAGUUGAGAGAAUUGGCCGAUAGUUCUGUAGACCAACCAAUUCAACGGGAUUCAUACGCCAAUAACUAUGAUGCCAUAUAUGUAGACAUUGGUUGAUGUUUAUGGCUCUACCAGUAUUGACUGAGAUGAAAAUGAGCAUUCGUCAAGCAAUGCUCAGCAUGUGCCAAAUGAAAUAGUUGCAGUCUUUUACAAGAUGUUAUUUUAAUCGGGGGUCCCAUUGUAUCCUGGAAAUGAUAAGCACACCAGGAUAUCUGUAGUGAUGAACCUUUUUCACUUUAAGAAUUGGCAUGACUGUAGUGAGCAAGGUUUCAAUAAUUAGCUUGCUAUUAUCAGCGAGUUCUUACCUACGGAUCAUACUCUGCUAGCGAAUUACUAUGAAGUGAAGAAGAUUGUAAAAUGGUUGAAUCUGGGUAUGAGAAGAUCGAUACUUGUGAGAAGGAUUGCAUGUUAUAUUAUGGGGAGGAAAAAGCUAAAAGGUGCAGUGUGAUAUCUGUAACUUGCCUCGGUAUAAGACAACAAAACGUAGAGGGAAGAAAAAACAUGUGCCUAAGAAAAUCUUACGGUACUUUUCUCUUGCACCCAGACUGUAGCGUCUAUUCAUGUCGCCACACACUGCUGAGCAUAUGAGGCGGCACAAAAGAAGGGACGUCGUGCCUGGUUAGUUGACUCACCCUGCAGAUGGAGAUGAAUGGAAGAUGUUUGAUGAGAUUUUUUUAAAAUUUACUGAAGAAGUUAGGAAUGUCAGGUUUGGCAUGACUACGGAUGACUUUUGCCCAUUUAAUAACUUUUGCCCAUUUAAUAAUUUUAGCUAGCCCUACUCUGUUUGGCCAAUGAUCAUGGUAGCUUAAAAUCUUCUACUGUCAAUGUGCAUGAGGGAUCCGUUUACGUUUAUGUUCUUGACUUUAUUCAUAUUGAGGGAUAAGAGUCUUAUAAAAGACAUAAACGUGUACUUCAAACCGUUAGUUGAUGAACUUAAGAUAAUGUGGGAGACGGAGGUUCAGACUUAUGAUAAAUCAGUUAAACAAAUUUUUGUCAUAAAUGCAACUCUGUUGUGGAGUAUCAUUGACUAUCUGGUACUUGGGAUGAUCAGUGGUUGGUCGACUCACAUGAAGCUGUCAUGUGUAGCCUGCAUGAGGUAUGUGCAAGGCACACAACUACUUCAUGGUCUUAUUUCCGACCGAAUGGCCGAAGAAAUAUUCCGUCGGAAAUAAGGUUAUUUCGACGGAAGUCAUUUUUCUUGUAGUGCUCCUCAAGGAUAAAAAAUCUUAUUACUAUUUUAAAUAAUCCUAAAUUAAAUAUUUACUUAUCUUAAAUAAUUUAUUUUUUAUAAUAAUUUGUCUAUAAUACUCUUAUUAUUAAUUGUCAUAUUUCUAUUAUUCAUGUGUAUUUAUGAAACUUCACUAGUCAUGCAUGUGCAAAAAACUAUCUAAUUAAAUAAUAAUUUAAAUAUAAAUAAUUUUAUCAUUUUAUCUUUUUUUUAUUGUAUAGAUAAAAAAAUAACCAUAACUUUUAUCUUUUGGCGGAGGGAGUAUUAGGACCAGGCAAUUUGGAAACCUCAAAUUAAGAAAUUAUUUAAUUGGGUCACAAAGAUGAUCAAAUUGAUUAUAUAAAUAUAAUGAAGGGUGUUAGACUUUAUAUUACUCUGAAUUUAGUUUAUUUAUAUUUUACCCUUUGUUUUUAAGUUUCUGAAUAUUUUUCUUUAUAGGUUCGGUAGGUGAGUAUAAUAUAUGCAAAAUCAUUUUACUUUUAAAAAGGUGGGUGCUAGGAUAUAUAAUUAAAACAAUUUAUAUAAAAAUAUAUGAUGUAUGUAUCAUACAGAUUCGAUAGCAAGAUGAAAUUAUUAGUAUAUGUUGGAUAGGGGUGGGCUAACAAUAUAGUAUCAACACGCAAAUUGAAAAGUAAUCUUUAUUUCUGUAUGUCAGCACUAUAUUGAUCAAUUGAUUAACUUAUCAUAAAAUUAAAAUUAAAUUCAUAAUAUUUAUCAGAUCCGUUGGAAAGAGGUUUUCAAGGGGAAGGGGGAGGGGAGAGAGAGAGAGAGAGAGUAAAGGGUGAGGACUUCUAUCCCAUCUUUUUUUUGUUCUUUUUGACUCAAGUUGGGAGUUAUGCAAUUAAUUAGCUAGGCCAGAAUCCAAACAUUUCUCUUCCGUGGAUCUAAAUCUUAUAAAUUUGUAUGUAUAAUAGUAGAGGUGGCAUGGCAUGCAUAGCUUGUCUGUCUAUUGCGUUACUUAUUUGUGUACGUGUCUGAUCAACUUUGACAAAGCAUUGAUAUUUGUAUGCAAGUUAAUCAUCUAAAUUGGGUGGGCCUACUACUAAAUUGGGCGGGCCUACUACUUCACUUGCCAUGUAUGUAUUUAAUCUAUCUAUUCUAAACUAGUAGUAGAAUUGUUUGAUGGCCACGUUGACUUCUAGACUCUUUACUUAGUGAUAUCUCAAAAAUUUAGAUAUUUAAACUUGACUACUUGGUGAUGAUGAUAUGGUAUUAAUAAACAAGAUUUGCUCAUCUGUGUCCUUCAAACCUUUUCACACGUAAAUUGUAUUAAGACAAAAUAACAGUCUACUUCUUGUGCGUUGCCUUGGGUUGGGCUGCACGAGUAUGAGUAGAUCCAGUAAGCAAAAUUUAGCUGGGUGGCUGGUGUGCUUGCUCAUACCAUGAUUUGGAAAUUUAUUGGGCUUUAAGGAUAAUGUAUGUCCGUGAUUUGGCAUAGCCCAAUUCAUAAGUUCUAAACUUCAAAUGUUAUGGAACGGAGAGACUGGGCUUUAAACCUAAUAAUACCAAUAAGGCUGAGAGAUAAAACGGAACAUUUUGGAUGAUGUGUUUGGUAAUGGGCCCAACUUAACCCUAACCCGGGCUGCCUACUAGGACAUCCAGGAGUGGACUAUGGGCUGAAAGUGUAGUAACAUUUUAAUUUCUGGCAUUUAUACUAGGGUCCUUUACAUAAGUAUACAACAAAUAGAAAGUAAUUACAAGAAUAGUGCAUCAACUAAAUAAUUACAAAAAGAAUGUAAUUAAGACCCAUAUUACAAAAAUAAUACAAUUCCCAUCAAUAAGUAAACCUAAAAUCAAGGAGAAAUAACUGUUAUAAUUAAUAAUUCAAAUUCAAAUAUUUGGGAUCUAACAACAAAAACAAAUUCAAAUUUUGAUUCACAAACAUUAGAAACUUUAUAACUCUGGCGUUAUCUCCGUCAACCGCAAUUCAGGAACAAGUGCCUGCAAAACGCAACUCGAAGUUCUCCUCAAUUCAGGCAAAAAAGAUCCAGAACCAUAGCAAGCAUGUGUUGCAAACAAUAAAAGGACGAGCUUUCCUGAGAGCUUAGAGACAGUAGUAAUAUCCUACAUGAGAGAAUGAAUAUUUCAAAAACAAAGUUCACCAUUUAGAGGUUGUAGACAUAAAAUGACACAAAAUUAAUAUCACAGCACUAGGUCUCAUCAUAAACAAACAUACCUUGGUGGAGGUAGAUCUUCCUUUACGUAAAGGAGAAGAGGGUGAUAAAAGUUUGCCCAACAUAAGUUUUUUCUGUUGUUUGCUCUUCUUCCAAAAGAGCCAAGAAGAAGAAAAAGAUUUGUCCUACAAAAAAUUUAUAACUAUUUUGUUACUCAUAAAUAAUAAAAUGGUUAUCUUUGUAUGAAUGGUUGGUUACUAACUGCAUCACAUUCAAACGAAAUUGGUAACUUAAUAAAAUUGAAUUGGUUACCUUAGUCUGAAGGUUUAGCUACCAACUACACUAUAAAAAAAUUGCAGGUGUGGAUGUGAAUUAGUUACUUUGGUAUGAAGGUUUUGUUACCUUGGUACGAAGGUUUGCUUACCUUGAUCUGAAGGUUUGGUAACCAACUAUACUAAGAAAAAAUUUAAAAGUGUGAAGGUUGAUUGGUUACUUUGAUAUGACAGUUUGGUUACCUUGGUAUAAAGGUUUGGUUACCAUCAUCCAGUAUUUGAAUGAACACAUUCAACACAUCAGAAUGGACUUUAAAUUAGUAACUUAAUAAAACUGAAUUGAUUACUUAGUCUGAAGAUUUUGCUACCAACUGCACUAUGAAAAACUGCAGAUGUGGAUGUGAAUUGGUUCCAAUCGUAUUCACAGUCAACUUCAAACAAGUACCUUAUAUGUCGGCACCUUCUGCAAUAUAUCAAGCACCUUAUAAACACCUUAUGCAAUAUAUCAAGCACCUUAUAUGUCGACCAAUACGUCUUGUCUCAUUUCUCCAAAUACUUCCUCAGAUCCGCCUCCUCCACCAUUCUCUUUCCAUUCUCCGAUCCCUUCACUAUCGCCUUCGUGCACAUCCUCCCGCUCUUCGCCGCAAAAUAUAUCCCCUCGCCGGAGCACUUUGUAACGUACCCCGCCGCGUCUCCGACCAACGCCACCCGAUCGGCUAGCCUUUUCGGUCGUGGGUACUCCGGAAUUGGAUGAGUUUCCACUCUGAUAAUCUUCCCGCCUAAUUCCUUCCUUAUCUUGGAUGGGUCUGCAAUUGCAGUAGGGUCAACAUAUAUAUAUAGAGAGAGAGAAAGAAAGAAUACGUAAAUUAAGGAAUCCUAAUUACAUACCAAUUCCUUAAAUUAAGGAAUCCUAGUUACACUAGAAUAUAUAAAUAAAUAUGAGAGUGUAUCAGUUAUGUAAAUAUUAUAUGAGUGCACUAUUAAUAUAAUUAUUUUUAAAAUGUAUUAGAAUAUGUAAUUGUUCCAACUAUAAAUGGGUAGAGUCAACAACUUGGAUGGCCCAAGAUUAUUAAAAUAUCAUCACAGCCUCUUUUACGGUAAUUUAGUCUAGUCCGUCUGAUGGAUACGUGGGGACCCAUUUUCUUCCCUGCUUGGAGAAAUUAAAGGGGAUUUUUUUUUUCAUAUGAUUAUUGGCCCAACGAUCAUUUUUGUCUUAUAAUUUCCAUGAGAUCAAGGUUUGAUUAAAGAAAGAAAGAGGAUUUUCCUAACAAAAUAACUUGCGUGUUUUUUAUGGUAUAGAUAUAAUACCCGUUGGUACCAUCAACAAAAAAUAAAAAAUAAAAGGUCAAAAAACAAUAAAAUAAAAUGUUUAGCGCUAAUAAACAAAAUUAAAUCUCUACUUGUUUGUUGCUGAAUUUGAAAAACAAAGGAGUUAAAUCAAUUUUUUUUACGGUACUCGAGCUCGGUUUACAAAUGUAUUACUCCCUCCGUCCCAGAAUAAAAGUCAUGGUGAAUUUUUCACGCAUAUUAAGAAGAGAAAUGAAAUGACAAAAUUUAUCAUAAUAAUAUUUCAUUAAUCAUUUCCAAUGUAGGUGAGAGAGUGACUUAUUAUACUUAUUAAAUAUGGAGAGAGGAUUAAAAUAAGGAAAAUAUGAGAUAUUUAAUGCUAAGGGUAUAAUAGGAAAAAUUGUGUAAAAUUUUGGUUAUUAAAGAAAAGUGAAUAUUUAACAUGGGACUAUCCAAAAUAAUAGUAAUAAAGACUUUUAUUUUGGAACGGAGGAAGUAUUAUUUUUACGAUUAACUCAUUAAACUACACGUUAUUUAUAAAAAGUGAUAGAAUCGUUUGUGUCUGUUAACCGUGUAACAAAAAAUUGACGUGGUAAUAUGCAGCAGUAUAUUACAUACAUUACUCACUACGUGGAUUAACUGAUUAUGUGGACGGGUAGUACAUCUUUACAAAAUAUGCCCAAGUGAAAAAUAAUGUUGAUUUUAUACAAAAUGAGAGGACAUAAUUGUAAAUAGCCAUAUUUAGAAGUGAGGGAGUAUCAAGUUAUUUGGAUGAAUUUCUACAAGAAAUCCUAUUUCUUUUGUUAGUUAUAUAAAAAAAUGAGACAAUAUGUUCAGAUUUAUCAUCAUAAUUUUACUAUCGAAAUUAAUAAAAAUAUAUUUUUAAAUGUCUACAAAUAGGCCACCCUAUAUUAGUCCCUUUUUACAACCCCCCAACCCCAAAAAGAAAAGAAAAAAAAAAGAAACUGAUUGCUCCAUGAUAAGUAUUUGUCUAUUCUCUAAGAUGUCUAAAGGUGAAGAAAAGUGGAAUUUAUUUCUAGAAAAGGAUUUCCGAGCUUUUAGAUUAUAAUACUCCCUCCCUCCAUAUUAUAAAGCUUUAUGGAGUAGUAUAUUAUAUUUGGUGAUGUGUCUGUGGCUGUGCACAUACUAAAGCCAGUAAUUUAGGGAUGAUGCAUGGAAUGUGUAGCCUCAAUCAUUUGAUCAUCACCACCACCACAAGUGUAUGGUUAUAAAUAUAACCCCGACGGGAUAUAUGGACUAGUAGUACUUAGUACUUACCCAUUUUCCAUUUUAAAAACUCUAUUACUAACUAUUACUAUUACGGAAUGGAGUAGUACCAACUUUAAACUUGUUUUUUUAAGACAGGCAGACAGACAGACAGCCAGCCAGCCAGACAGGGACUACCUUAUUAUUACAUGAAGAAUACGAGAGAGAGACUAUCAGUACAAACUAAAACUACUACAAGUCUUCUUCAUGUCUCCAACAAAACAAAAACAUGAAACAAGCCAAAACCUUAAUUAAAGAAUGGAGUGUAAGUAUAUUUUAUAGUAGUACUACACUAGAAUGUGAAGGGGAUCCCCAUACGACUACUAUUUAUAGAUAUUGAGGAUAUACUACUUAUUUUACUCCUAAAAAUAAGGUGCUAGGUUGAAAAUAUAAUAGAAUAAGACAAAUAUCCAUACCAAUUUAGUCUAUUUUAUUUUUAUUUAUUUUACUGUGCCAAACUAUAUGCAUAAUAAAAUAGAUAACACUCUACUUAAUGUCUACGAAAAGAAUUCCAGUUUAUACAUGUCAAUUCACUUGCAAUAUGAAGCACUUGAUAUUUGUACUGUUACCCUAAUAAUACUAGUAAUAUAUAAUAUAUAUAUAUAUAUAUAUAUAUAUAUAUAAGACACCAUGCAACUAUCCAUUAUUAUUAUUAUGUACCGAAACAUUCACCACUUUGUUCUCUUACGCCAAGUACAAUUUGAACCUUGAGAGUGUAUUGUAAAUUACUACUAAUAAAUAUGCUAUCUACUAUCUACUAGCUACUAAUUCUAUAAUCUAAUCUCUUGCAAAUGUAUGUAAUAUUACAUCCUAAAUUUUAUCCUCAGGCGAGACCGGCCCAAGUGAACCGUAAAUUGUCUUUUCUUGGAUUAAUUACUUUAUCUUCGAUAAUUCGGAAACCCAAUUUACUUUAUUUUAAAUUUAAAUAUCUCGGAUUUUUUUUCUUUCUAAAUUUCAAAAAUAGGUGCACAUGAAUGAACGGAACCUAAUUUGGCCCUGUACUGUACGUUGAAGAAAUUAAACACUGGAGUUAGAGUACAUACAUUACUGAAGAGAAACAAACCCAAUAAUUCAUGGAAUAAUCAAACUAGCAUUGCUAGUAAUGCAAUGAACAUUUCUUUCCUAAGUGUCAUCCGUACAUUCAAAUCCUACGGGAAAACUACUCGGAAACCACAACCUAAGGGAAUGUUUGAAAAUUUGGAAACCAAAACUAGUGUUUACUUUACGUUUCAUAUACUACUAUAUUUUUAUUUUCCCUUGUUAGUACUACUACUAGUUAGUACUCUAUUUCAGCCAUUUUCUGUUGGCGAAGAAAUUUCAGUUGCUUCUCGAUGAAAGCCUCAACAGUCAGCCGAAACUCCUCGUUGCUCAAAUUGUCUACCCUCUCAUAUGCACUUGUUCGUCGAUUGCCGACUAUUCGCCUGACUUCAGUCUCCGAUCGUCGGAACUCUUUUCGAGGAUUCCCUGAGAUAUCACGCUUCAACUUCUCCGACCGAGUUCUCUCGAAUUUCCGUAUCUGCUUAGUUGCCUUGUCUAUUGCCUUAGCCACUGCUUCGCACUCAGUUUGACGAUCCGCAUUCUCCAUACACACAAUCUGCUUCCCCUCCCCGCCGAUCGUAUCCUCCUUCUCCGGCGCCGGAGACGUCUGUGAUUCCGCAGCGGCAAUCGAAUUCUGAUUCUCGCUUUUUUCCACGUAGUCAUCGUAAAAAUCCGAAACACCGGAGUUGUUUCCGGCGUCGAUAUGGCGGGAGAGGACGAAUAGCGCGAUUACAAUUGCAUUUCCGAUGAGGAAAACAACGUGAGGAUUCAAAACGUAGAGAGAGGAUUGGAGGAGAUACUGGACGGAAAGUUUGAGGACGGCCGGCAAACACGUGGACGACCAGGAGAAAAGAGUGACAGCGACGAUGACCUCGAAUACCUGUAAAAGUUUUGCAAGGUUUCGGAAACGGCGAUAUCGGGCAAUUGCAUUGGCCUUUUCUAGUUUCACAGUGUCAAUGAAGUUGUGAGAAUCCAUUUUCAGGAGAAACUUGAACUGAUGACGAGAGAAAUUGAAACUGUCAAAACUCCGGAGAGGAAAAACAGAACAGAAACGGCUGGAACUAAGAUUAAAAUUUCGCGACGUAUGGAUUCUAAUUUGCGGGAUAAAAUAGAGUUUCUCGAAGAAAAGGAGUUGGCUAGGGUUAAGAGGAGAGGGGGGAAUUGGAAUUGCAGAGGCGAUGAUUCUCCGGAAAAUUAGGGGAAGGAAAAUGAUAAAGAAAGGAAAUUUGGAGAAAGGAAAAGAAACAUAAAGGCAUAUACAUAUAUAUUACAUACAGAGAGAGAGAGAGAGAGGCAGUUUGUUUGGUCUGAGUUGGAGGUGUUGUUAUGGGCGUGUUCGAUGAAGAAAGUUUCAGAGAAAGCGGUACGAAUUUAUAAUGCUCACUCUUAAUUUAAUUGGAAAGGUUUGUUUUUUUGUUUUAUAAAAAAACAUUGGAAUAAUAAUGUAGCAGAUCGUAUGGUACGAUAAAAAAGUGGAGGAAGAAAUGACAAAGUCAGUGAGUGAAGUAAUCAAUCCAGUGCCAGUGAACAUGCACUCGACUCCGGCUGAACCGCGACCGAGCCAACACAAGCACGCGCGUUGGGUUGGGUUGGGCUGGCCUGGCUAACAUUUCAUUUUUUGAUUUGGUAAAGGACAUUUUGCCUACCAUGAUGCCUUUCCUCACGUGCUACCCCCCUGCCAUUUUACAACCAAUUUACUCCUCACUACCCUCGGCUAAAGUAUUUAUGUACAAUAGUCUAAAAUUUGUGCAAUUAGAGUAAAUUUAUGUUUGGAAGGGAUCCGGUUAGCAUGAAGUUAUUUUUUUGGUUAGUUAGUCAAUUGUUCAGUAGAUUAUUGACACACGUACAACCUCGCUUGCGUGUCAGUAUUCUAUUGAUCAAUUGACCAACUUAUCCAAAAUAAACUUUAUACUAAUGCUUCCGUUUGGAAGGGUCCAAACAACAUCAUUUUCUUUGUAACGGCAUGAUUAAAGUAAAUCAUUUUUUAAAAAAAUAAAAUAAGCAUUGUCCAUUUAAAUCUAACUAACUACUCAUCCAAUUUGAAAUAUAAGAUAAAUUUUGAUUAUUAAAAGUUUAAUUACGAUAUAUAUAUUUUUAAAUCUCAAAUUGAUACAAUUAUUUUUUUUCUUUUGAAACUAAUAAAUCAUACUUUAUUCGUCUCACAAAAGAUGGUUGAGGUAUAAAAAAAUUAUUAUCCUAUAAAAGAUAGUUAAAACAAACAAUUCAAAUAUAAAGCCUAUUUUAUCCUCAAAAUGAUUUGUGUAGGGUUCACUGCUAUUAAGAAAAAGAGCCAAAAAAGUUAGCAUACUUACAUGGCGUCCAUUCAUGUGAAUAACUAGCAAACUUCUGUAUUUUUUUUUAAUUAUGUGAAAAGUGUACUUAAAACAUUUUUUAUUGUACUUGUUUAAAUAGUUUACUGUUUUUAUAAUUACAUUAAUUGAAAUUAAUAUAAACUUUGAAUAUUAAAAGGCAAAUUUAUUUUAUUUUUUUAAAAUAGAGAAAACAUUUACCACCUAUAUAACCAAGAUGAUUGGGUUGGAGCUUUCAUUUUACGUAAGUGAAAGUAGACGAAUGUUUGUAUAUAAAAUUUAAAAUAUUACAUAUAUCAACUAUUGAUAAAGAAUUAAAAUAUUAAGAAUAUAUUCCAUCUCAUAAUUGAAAUGUUGAAGAGACCCCUACCCCUACCCCCACCCCCACUUCCACUUUUUAAGAUUGAUUAACGUGAAGUUAUUAUAUAUAUGCAUGGGAAAGUCAUGCAUGCCCCGGUACAAAAAGAAAAAAGAAGAGGAAGAGAGACGUAGAAAAACAGAGAGUCUGGAGUAUCUCUCGCUCGCUUAUUUCCAACCACAUUCAGGCCUUUCCAGUACAACCAAACACUGAGAGUCAGAGAUACAAAUAUUGAACACGCAAUUUAGAUCGUACUUUCAUUAAACCAUAGGAAAAAGUAGUCACGAACUCACUCGUCUUUUUCGGAUACAUUUUAUUAUUUACUCUCUCUCCACAUUUUCCUUUUUCACAAUUUUAUUUUUAAAAUACAUCAUGCCUAAUGUUUGUCACACGGACUACUUGUCCAAGUAUCUCUCUCACCCACUCAACAUUGACCUUCAAAUAUAUAGAGGGAUCGGAUUCCCUCCCUCCCUCCCUCCCUCCCUCCCUCGCCAGUAAAAAAGUGAAAAAUUAAUGGAAAAAACAGAAGAUUAGGUGGGUAUAUAUUACUUUUUGACUUACACUGAACAUCUCCACCCAACUAGCGGUGUUCAUCCGGUAAAACUGUGGUUGAAAUUAAACUUUGACAUUAGAAAGUCAAUAAUAAUCGGAGAGAUUAUAUAUUCUAAAAUAUACUUUAAAAAUAUAUAUAAUAUUAAGAUGGAUAAAUAAUAUGUUAAAGUAUAUAUUUGGAAAACCUUAAAAAUGCAUAAAAUUAAAAAGUAAAUAUGCAACACAUUCGGAAUAUGUAGGAAGUUAACAAUUAUCUACUUGAUUGUUUUGAUUAAAUUCCACCCCACCCCAACAAGAAUAGUUGAAGGGCCCAAAUCAAUGGUGGGCUGAAAAUCCAAAAGGUGUUGUGAUAUUCGUCCAUCUCCCUUGUGAGCUUGGAAACAAAAGAGUGAAGGAAGGAAGAAAAUGGGUGUUGUACUCCGUCCGUCCAAUAUGGUAAAAUGCAAGGUUGAUCAGUGAACUUUAGGACACAUUUGCGUUGUGGUUAUUUUUUAUUUUAUUUAACAUGUGGCAUAUCUGACGUGGCAAAUAUUUAACUUGAACCCAAAAAUAUUUGUUGCCGCAAAGAUUCGAUCUACAAACCUCAAAGUUGAAAUUUCAUUCCAAUGACCAACUAAGCUACAAAGUCUAGUUAUUAUAAUUUUGCAAGGAUUAAUAUGUAUAACUAAACAAUUAGAUCCCCAAAUUAUAUAAUACCAAUAAUAUUAAUAAUAAUUAUACUAAUAAUAAUAAAAAUAAUUAUACUAAUAAUAAUAAAAAUAAUUAUAAUAAUAAUAAUAUUAAUUAUACUAAUAAUAAUAUGAAUAAUAAUAAUUAUAAUAGUAAUAAUUAUAACAAUAAUAAUAAUUAUUAUUAUUAUUAUUAUUAUAAUUAUUAUUAUUAGUAUAAUUAAUAUAAUUCAUUCUACACCAGGAAAUCAAUCGAAAAUUUUGCCUGGCUCAUGGCGGGACUGAGCAUGCCGUGCAGAAGAGUAAGCUGAAAGUGCUGACCCAGUCAUGCUCAGUGAAUGCUUAGCAAGAUCUACACUCUUCUUCGUCAACAAUUAAUAUUAGUAUUAUUAGUAUUAUUAUUAUUAUUAGUAUUAGUAUAAUUAAUAUUAUUAUUAUUAGUAUAAUUAUUAUUAUUAUUAAUAAUAUUAGUAUAAUAUUAUUAUUAUUAUUAUUAUUGUUAUAAUUAUUAUUUCUCCCUCCGUCUCAUAGUUAUAGGCUGAUUUUCAUUUUGAGAUGUCUCAAUAUAUAGGCUACUUACUAUUUAUAAAAUUUAGUUGGUUCAUUAUUUUACUUUUAUGCCCUUAUAAUAAAUAUUCAACUGUAAGACCCCAAAUAAUUAAUAAAUGAAAUUUAAUUUUCUCUAAUUAUUAUUUUGAAAUAAUAAGGGUUGAUGUGAUUAAUAUGGAUAGUUAUAGGUAAAAUACGUAAAUAUUUCAAAUAAGCAGGUGGUUAUAAAAUAUUUGUGAAAUAUUCGUACUGUCGAGGAAUAUUCGUACGACGGCACAGCCAUGUGUGGGCCCCAUAACGGAAAGCGAUUGGAUGAAAAAAAUGACAAAUAUAAGUUGUUGAAAAAUAACGGCGUAGUUGUUACCGUUAAUACUUUUAAAAUACUCGGUGGUUAAAACACAGUAGCACACGGUAUUGCACCAAUUAUUGAUUCUUACGUAAGAAGACACUACUCAAUAAUGGUUAUAGUAAUUACUGUUCAGUAUUUUAUUUUAUUGAUUUAAUAAUUGCUGCGUUUAUAUUUUAUAUUGUUGUUGUUUCAAUAAUUGUCAUUACACAGUAUUUUUCAUUAUCGAAGCAAUAAUUCAUAUUAUCUGAAUAAUAUUAUUAGAUAACAUUAUUGACAAUGUCUAUAAAAUUCUGUCUAAGGAGAGGUUUGGUCACCUAAUUGCGCGCCAGUAAGGAGAAAUUCUUAUUGGAGAGUCCCCUCUUUCCUGGGAAUUGCCUGGUUGUCAAUAUUGUGAUUCUGUAAUAUUAUUUGUGAAUAAUUAAUUAUUGAUUCAUAUGAUGAGGAAAAUAUUGAUUUUAUGUGGAUAUAGAUGGAGAAAAUUUUUAAUGUGACAAUUGUUGAAAAUUGAAAUUUUAUCUUUUUCUGAUAAAAUAAUUCAUUUAAAUAUAUAUAAUAUUAUAUUUUAAUAAUAUAAUAAUGGUGAUAUUUUUACAACGAAUGUGGGAUAUAUGAGUAUACGAGGAGGAAGAGUAUUUUUGUUGCAAUAAAUGUUUAAAACAUGUUAAACAUGUCGGUGGACCCCAUUUAUUGACUGAAAUUUGAUUAUAGCCUCUAAAAUCACCCGUUUGUGGAUUUCGGUCAAUUUCUGUUUGGAAUUUGGAAAAACUUUCUUCUGCAAAGUUGUAGAGAAUUGAAUUUCCUAUAAAAACUCGCGAGAUUCGAAUUUUCUGAUAAAAGGGCUAUUUAUUAUGAAUUAUUGAAGUUCCGAAGCUCCGAAAUAAUUGAUUUUUGGAAGUUUAAAAUAUUUUAAAUUAGAAAAACGUUUUUUUUAUUUUUUUCUAGAAGGUUGGCAUGUGUGAAUUGCUGAGAUUAAGAUUUCAAGGAAUACGUAUAAUAUUUUUAUAUAUAUUAAUAUUAUAUUAAAUUUUCUGCUUUGGUGUUCUAAGCAAUUUCCUAUAAAUAGGUGCUUAGGUUAGAAUUGAAAAUCACACCAGAAACUGAAGUUUUCUCUCUCUAUAUUAUCGAGCGUAUUCUUGUGAGUAUUUUGAGUAUACUUUGAGUAUUGCUAUACGGUGAAAGUUCAAGUUAUAGCCUAUAUCCAGUAUUCCAGUUAGAAGUACUGUCUUUCCGAGGUAAGGGAUAUUAUUUUUUUUCGUAAUGAUAUUAUUUCUUCAAUAUCAUUAUGCUGAAAUAUUGAUCUGAAGUUUUUAUCAAAUUUGGAACUUUUGGUGUCGGAGUUACUAUUCACGUAUACGGCACUAUUCACGUAUACGGUACUAUUCACGAAUACGGCACUAUUCAUCGAAAAAUGAAAAUUUUUCUUUUCGUCCAAAAUAUCUAUUGUGGAUACUAGCUUUGAUUGUAUCCAUGUUUUGAUCAUUCUUGAAUUUUACACCACUAUGAUUAUUUUUGAGGUAUUUUUGGACGUGGAUAAAACAAAGUACGAAUCCUUAAUCCUUAAUCCUUGUCAUUUUGUUUCACUGGAUUCGUUUCUUUAAAAAAAAAAUUUUUUUUCAUCAUCCUCAGUCUUAAAUGAUGAUAUUAUUGAAUAUCUUUGGCCUGUAGUGCAAAGAUGAAUGAUUUCUGAUGAAUAUCUUUGGCCCGUAGUGCAAAGAUGAACAGGUGUUUAGAUGAACAUGACCAACUGAUGAAUAUCUUUGGCCUGUAGUGCAAAGAUGAAUAUUUGAUUCCAGAUAUAUAUUGAUUGAUGUUACAGGGAUAAAAGAUAGACGAUGAACUUUUAAAUUCAUACAUAGAAGAUAGUAGUUUGCAUUCUCUACUUAACUCUUCUAAUGAAUUAUUAUUUCCGCUGCGAAUAUUGAUUUAAAACUUGUUGUCUAUUGUAUUCUAUUAGAUUUUUCCCUGUUGAAGACUAACGAUAAUUUGUUGUAUAUUAUCUUAGUCAUAAUAUUCUUUACUGGGCUAGUUGAGCUCACCCUUUUCCUUUUUGUUCCAUUUUUCUUCUCAGGAGGCGAGAAUAUAGCGAGUACGAGUCGGGGUAUGGAAUGAAGGUUCUAGAGAGAGUUGUUUAGUAGUCCUCACCAUUUUUGUAAAAUAAUGUAUCAAUAAAUGUGAUGAGGAUUUAUUUGAGCAUAUAUAUUGUCUAGAAGAUAAUAUUUGUAUUCAAACUCAUAAUUUUACUGUGAUAAUAAUAAAGUUGUAGUUAUUUCUGUACCAUGUAUUGACAACUCAGAAUGGGUGAUGUAUACCUAUUUUGGGGGCGUCACAUCAACAAUUACUCUUUAAUAAAGAAACAACAUUCAAUGUCAUUAUUUUUAUCACCACAUUUAAUGUUGUUGUAUUCUCUUUGGUUAAAGUUGUAUGGUUAUGAUUUUUAACACGUCAAUCAAUGAAGUUGAGAGUUCCAGUGUGAUAAAUAAAGAGUAAUUAACUUAUUCAUUAAUUCCAUAUUAAGGGGUAUAUGUGGAAAAUUUAUAUUAAAAAUUAUCACUAAAUUGAUUUUUUUAAACUAUGUGACAAAAGAAAUCAGCCUAUAACUAUGGGACGGAGGGAGUAUUAGUAUAAUUAUUACUAUUAUAAUAAUAAUAAUUAUUAUUAGUAUUGUAUUAUUAUUAUUAUUAUUAUUAUUAUUAUUAGUACUACUACUAUUAUUAUUAUUAGUACUAUUAUUAUUAUUAUUAUUAUUAGUGCUACUAUUAUUAUUAUUAAUAAUAUUAUUAUUAUUAUUAUUACUAUUAUUAUUAUUAGUACUAUUAUUAUUAUCAUUAUUAGUAUUAUUAGUACUAUUAUUAUUAUUAUUAUUAUUAUUAUUAGUACUAUUAUUAUUAUUAUUAGUAUUAAUAUUAUUAUUGUUAUUAUUAUUAUUAUUAUUAUUGUUGUUGUUGUUGUUGUUGUUGUUGUUUUUUAAUUCACCUAAAAUUAUGUAUUUUGGAGAUUUAUUUUAUCUUUUAAUUUGGGGAUCUAAUUGUUUAAUUAUAAAUAUUAAUACUUGCAAGAUUAUAACUACUAAGCCUUGUAGUUCAGUUGGUCAUUGGGCUAAUCUUUUAAACUAGAGAUUCUAAGUUUGAAUUUGUGCGGUGGUCGACUUUGCAUUUUACACAUAAUUAAAUUGCUAAAAGUUACGUUCUACCAUAUCAAACAAAACAAUACUCGAUGUGUUUGAUUGUAUCUUAAUAGUCCACCUCUUAAUAUAUUUUAAUAAUUUAUAUUUUUAUAUUAAGAUAUUCUCUGAAUAAUUUAGACUUAUAUUUAUAUUUUAACUAUUCAGAUAAAUUUUUAAUAUAAAUAUGUGAAUUGUUAAGAGAUAGACAGACGGUCUACCGUAUGAACUGACAAUAUGAUCCACAGGCCAUCUCCACUUUUUAAGGUUCCCUUCCGAAAAUGAGUCUCAUUACGUAUGAAAUUUUCACUUACCACUGACUAUUUUUCUAUUUAAUUCUUUUACUUAAUAUUUGCAUAUAUUUAUAUCAAAUUUUAAUCACGUCUUAAAUAAAAUAUGCGGAUAUUUUAAAAGUGUCUCGGUGACAGCAACCACAUGGGAAUAUUUCUUAUACUUUUAUUAUGCGAGAAUUGAAAUAUAUAGAAAAGAAAAGAUAAAACUUACUUUUCUUUUGCUGUAAAAUUCUAGUGGAAAUUAAUGAAGAUCGAAAACGACUUGUAUUAAUUACUUUUGGCAAAUCAGAUGUUUGUUUAGGACUUAAGUUGUGUUUGAUAAAAUUAAUUGUUAAAAGAUGAAUAAUUUAGAUAUCUGAAUAAUAUAAAAUAUCUGAAUAAAAAAAUAUUAUUUAAUAAUUAUUUUUUCAAAAUAACUGAAUAACAAUUUUAACCCUUCUUCUCUUUCACUUUCUCUUUCUGGCUUCUCUUCUUUCUUCUCCUCCUCCUUCACCAUCCGGGCCAUCCCCGUCUCCUCCCUCUCCCCCACCCCUCCCUCCUCUCACCCACCCCACCUCACCCCACCCCACCCCACCCACCCCAACCCAACCCAACCCAACCCAACCCNNNNNNNNNNNNNNNNNNNNNNNNNNNNNNNNNNNNNNNNNNNNNNNNNNNNNNNNNNNNNNNNNNNNNNNNNNNNNNNNNNNNNNNNNNNNNNNNNNNNNNNNNNNNNNNNNNNNNNNNNNNNNNNNNNNNNNNNNNNNNNNNNNNNNNNNNNNNNNNNNNNNNNNNNNNNNNNNNNNNNNNNNNNNNNNNNNNNNNNNNNNNNNNNNNNNNNNNNNNNNNNNNNNNNNNNNNNNNNNNNNNNNNNNNNNNNNNNNNNNNNNNNNNNNNNNNNNNNNNNNNNNNNNNNNNNNNNNNNNNNNNNNNNNNNNNNNNNNNNNNNNNNNNNNNNNNNNNNNNNNNNNNNNNNNNNNNNNNNNNNNNNNNNNNNNNNNNNNNNNCUCCCCCUCCCCCAGAUCUGAUAUAUUGAAGAUUUGAUCUAGUGGUGGUGGUAUGGUAAUAUUGAAAAUUGAUAAUAUUGAAAAGGGUAUUUGUGUCUAAAAAAUAACAAGUCAUUAAGAAACAUGUAUGAAUAAUUUAGAUUUGAUUUUUUAUCUCGACCAUUUAGAGGCAUUUAGAGGUAACAAAAAAAUAAACAAACAACAUUUAUCCUCUUAGCGAAUAAGAUGUGAUCUAUUAAGACCUCUUAAGAGGUAAACAAACAGCACUUUAAUACAGCUUGUGGUCUGAAUUGAGAGCGGUGGAGAAUUAGGAGUGGAGCUGAG
RNAcentral lists this long non-coding RNA (19436 nucleotides) under Panax ginseng (ginseng). RNAcentral's name for it is "long non-coding RNA (PGIN_LNC010037)". The stretch from base 11678 to 11798 matches the Rfam family "MIR6135 microRNA precursor family". Lineage: Eukaryota; Viridiplantae; Streptophyta; Magnoliopsida; Apiales; Araliaceae. The record is from RNAcentral.